GAUGAACGCUGGCGGCGUGCCUAAUACAUGCAAGUCGAGCGAACGGACGAGAAGCUUGCUUCUCUGAUGUUAGCGGCGGACGGGUGAGUAACACGUGGAUAACCUACCUAUAAGACUGGGAUAACUUCGGGAAACCGGAGCUAAUACCGGAUGAUAUUUUGAACCGCAUGGUUCAAAAGUGAAAGACGGUCUUGCUGUCACUUAUAGAUGGAUCCGCGCUGCAUUAGCUAGUUGGUAAGGUAACGGCUUACCAAGGCAACGAUGCAUAGCCGACCUGAGAGGGUGAUCGGCCACCCUGGAACUGAGACACGGUCCAGACUCCUACGGGAGGCAGCAGUAGGGAAUCUUCCGCAAUGGGCGAAAGCCUGACGGAGCAACGCCGCGUGAGUGAUGGAGGUCUUCGGAUCGUAAAACUCUGUUAUUAGGGAAGAACAUAUGUGUAAGUAACUGUGCACAUCUUGACGGUACCUAAUCAGAAAGCCACGGCUAACUACGUG
RNAcentral lists this ribosomal RNA (497 nucleotides) under uncultured bacterium. RNAcentral's name for it is "partial 16S ribosomal RNA". It matches the Rfam family "Bacterial small subunit ribosomal RNA", at positions 28 to 507 of the family's 1533-position model. The record is from RNAcentral.